This 301-nucleotide ribosomal RNA is filed under the name uncultured bacterium. Its description in RNAcentral is "partial 16S ribosomal RNA". It matches the Rfam family "Bacterial small subunit ribosomal RNA", at positions 509 to 808 of the family's 1533-position model. The record is from RNAcentral.
CAGUAGCCGCGGGAAUACGAAGGGUGCAAGCGUUACUCGGAAUUACUGGCGUAAAGCGCACGCAGGCGGUCUGACAAGUCAGAUGUGAAAUCCCCGGGCUUAACCUGGGAACUGCAGCGGAUACUGGCAAGCUAGAGUGUGUCAGAGGAUGGUGGAAUUCCCGGUGUAGCGGUGAAAUGCGUAGAGAUCGGGAGGAACAUCAGUGGCGAAGGCGGCCAUCUGGGACAACACUGACGCUGAGGCACGAAAGCGUGGGGAGCAAACAGGAUUAGAUACCCCCGUAGUCCCUGUCUCUUAUACA